GACGAACGCUGGCGGCGUGCCUAAUACAUGCAAGUUGAGCGCUGAAGGUUGGUACUUGUACCAACUGGAUGAGCAGCGAACGGGUGAGUAACGCGUGGGGAAUCUGCCUUUGAGCGGGGGACAACAUUUGGAAACGAAUGCUAAUACCGCAUAAAAACUUUAAACACAAGUUUUAAGUUUGAAAGAUGCAAUUGCAUCACUCAAAGAUGAUCCCGCGUUGUAUUAGCUAGUUGGUGAGGUAAAGGCUCACCAAGGCGAUGAUACAUAGCCGACCUGAGAGGGUGAUCGGCCAAAUUGGGACUGAGACACGGCCCAAACUCCUACGGGAGGCAGCAGUAGGGAAUCUUCGGCAAUGGACGAAAGUCUGACCGAGCAACGCCGCGGGAGGGAAGAAGGGUUUCGGAUCGUAAAACUCUGUUGGUAGAGAAGAACGUUGGUGAGAGUGGAAAGCUCAUCAAGUGACGGUAACUACCCAGAAAGGGACGGCUAACUACGUG
RNAcentral lists this ribosomal RNA (497 nucleotides) under uncultured bacterium. Its description in RNAcentral is "partial 16S ribosomal RNA". It matches the Rfam family "Bacterial small subunit ribosomal RNA", at positions 28 to 507 of the family's 1533-position model. The record is from RNAcentral.